GCUGGGCAUGGUGGCUCAUGCCUGUAAUCCCAGUGGCUCAGGUGGCUGAGGCAGGAGGAUUGUGAGUUCAAAGCCAGCCUCAGCAAAAGCGGGGUGCUAAGCAACUCAGUGAGAAUCUGUCUCUA
Molecule: small RNA, 125 nt
Filed under: Marmota monax (woodchuck)
Lineage: Eukaryota; Metazoa; Chordata; Mammalia; Rodentia; Sciuridae
Source: RNAcentral